RNAcentral lists this long non-coding RNA (525 nucleotides) under Canis lupus familiaris (dog). Its description in RNAcentral is "lncRNA (ENSCAFG00000058705.1, ENSCAFG00845006233.1)". Lineage: Eukaryota; Metazoa; Chordata; Mammalia; Carnivora; Canidae. The record is from RNAcentral.
CUCUGUUGGUGUUCUGGGACCAUUUUGCCGGACACACUGAAACCACACUUCAGCAAAGCAAUGGCACAGUGCUUCCUGGAUUCAGUCUACCUUCUGGGAUUCAAGGAGGAGAAUGAAGGACUGUCUCAAAUUAUUUUGGGUACAUUUUGGAGCAAGUAUAAAGGACCUAACAAUCUUCCUUAAUUGUAAAAGUCUUCAGAACUACUAACGCCUCUUGUGGAACUUGUGUACACCCAGCAACAAAGCAAUCUUCAACUCAAAAGAGAAACAAAAUUUUAAAGGAUGGGUGUGGAACUUUUGAAACUCAAAAGGAGGAAACAUCUCUUCUUCAUCCAGCCUAAGAAUCUGUACAGAAACGAACCUUUUGCCAUUUCCUUGUUUGGAAAAAGACAAAAUAAUAAAAGAAGAAAAAACAAAAAAUGUAAUUGAUAUUUUCUGCCACCAGAACUCUAUAAGGCUACUGAAUCCAACUGGAUCCCAUGAAACCAAGAAAAUGUAAUUAAAGGUCAUUACAAUGAACUGGGA